This 469-nucleotide ribosomal RNA is filed under the name uncultured bacterium. Its description in RNAcentral is "partial 16S ribosomal RNA". It matches the Rfam family "Bacterial small subunit ribosomal RNA", at positions 28 to 507 of the family's 1533-position model. The record is from RNAcentral.
GACGAACGCCGGCGGCGUGCUUAACACAUGCAAGUCGAACGGUGAAGCGAGUGCUUGCACUCGUGGAUCAGUGGCGAACGGGUGAGUAACACGUGAGUAACCUGCCCAUCACUCUGGGAUAAGCACUGGAAACGGUGUCUAAUACUGGAUACGACCAACCCUUGCAUGGGGUGUUGGUGGAAAGAUUUAUCGGUGAUGGAUGGACUCGCGGCCUAUCAGCUUGUUGGCGGGGUAAUGGCCCACCAAGGCGACGACGGGUAGCCGGCCUGAGAGGGUGACCGGCCACACUGGGACUGAGACACGGCCCAGACUCCUACGGGAGGCAGCAGUGGGGAAUAUUGCACAAUGGGCGAAAGCCUGAUGCAGCGACGCCGCGUGAGGGAUGACGGCCUUCGGGUUGUAAACCUCUUUCAGCAGGGAAGAAGCGAAAGUGACGGUACCUGCAGAAGAAGCACCGGCUAACUACGUG